AUGAAUCAAAACUUUCAACAACGGAUCUCUUGGUUCUGGCAUCGAUGAAGAACGCAGCGAAAUGCGAUAAGUAAUGUGAAUUGCAGAAUUCAGUGAAUCAUCGAAUCUUUGAACGCACAUUGCGCCCGCCAGUAUUCUGGCGGGCAUGCCUGUCCGAG
This 158-nucleotide ribosomal RNA is filed under the name Trichoderma harzianum. RNAcentral describes it as "5.8S ribosomal RNA". It matches the Rfam family "5.8S ribosomal RNA". Rfam says of the family: 5.8S ribosomal RNA (5.8S rRNA) is a component of the large subunit of the eukaryotic ribosome. It is transcribed by RNA polymerase I as part of the 45S precursor that also contains 18S and 28S rRNA. The record is from RNAcentral. Lineage: Eukaryota; Fungi; Ascomycota; Sordariomycetes; Hypocreales; Hypocreaceae.